Molecule: long non-coding RNA, 2986 nt
Organism: Peromyscus californicus insignis
Lineage: Eukaryota; Metazoa; Chordata; Mammalia; Rodentia; Cricetidae
Exons: 3
Source: RefSeq, a predicted model, not a curated record
CUCCACUCCACUAUGAACUCCUGAACAGCAGAGGCAGCUUUCCGGGGAGGCUGCCAGGUCACCACAAUGUUGUUCAUGUCCGCUGACCUUGCAGAUACCCGGGAAGGAGCCAGCAACCCUUUGGGGGUGAGGAAGAGGAAGGACAAAAUGAGAAUGGAUAAAGAUGAAAACAGGAACUGGGGGGACAUCUCAGUCGGUCAAGUGUUUGAGGACACGGGUUCAGUCCCCAUAUCCCACUGGGCUAGACGUGGUUGGCAUGGUGGUGCACGUUGGUACUCCUAGUCCUGGGGAAGUGGGCCAGGAAGAUCCCUGGGCAUCUCCAGCCAGGCAGACUAGCCUACUUAGCAAGCUCCAGCCAGUGAGAGACCUUUUUUUUUUUUUUUUUUUUUUACAACAACAAACAAAAAACAAGGUAGAUAGUGCCUGAGGAAUGACAUCUACCUAAGGUUAUCCUGUGCCUAUAUAUGCACACAUGCAUCUGUUCAUGCAUGAACACACACACACACACACACACACACACACACACACACACACACACACACACGACAGCUUAUCCCAGCUCAGUCUUAGAAACCAUCAAUCUCUCUUUUGGGACUUCCAGGUCAAGGAUUAAGUUUAUGCUUUUCAGUUCAUGGAGGAUUAGCCUCAGCAGCUUGUCCUAUAAUCCUGUGUAGCUUUCUUUGUGGAUUUAUUUCCUCUUUGUCUUCACUUACUUCAUUUCCUCAAAGUGCUUACUCCGUUAAAUGUAAUAUACACCCUUUUAAUGACCUCCCAUCUGUCUCCUUAGACGGAAAUGUAUCACUGAAAUGUAGUAUGACCCUUUGCUUGGCUGUUAUGUUUUUACACAACGGAUUAUUUUGUCAAACCUUUUCGCUUAGCUUUCUGUUUCUGGGAUAGAUUCAUCCUCCUUCUCUGUAAACCUAGCUCACUCCCUCACACUUCUGCCUACACCCUUUUCUCAUCUGCUUUCCAGUGGCCAGCAGGAGUGUGCUGACACAAAGACACAGUGACCGGUCUCUGCAGUCCCUCUUGUGCACAUCCAAGACCAUUCUGGAUGAACAUGCGCCAAACUGCUUGCUUAGGGAGUGUCCUUCUGCUUGAUCUCCAAAACAGAUGGAUGAGAGGAGGGUGAAGCUCUUGCCCAGCCUGAGGAAGGCGCUGGACACAUGCCCAGAAGGGGUAACAUUGCUCUUUCAGCAAAGACAACAAAAUGAGAAAAGCUUUCAUAAAGCAUUCUGAAAUGCUUUCAGUUCUUCAGGACAUGAAAGAGUGCCACAGGAACUGAGCCUGGGCCUUGUAUCUGAGAGUUCAUGUCCCAAGAAUUAAAAAGUACAGGCAACUGACACUAACCACUGCGAAGUGCAAGGGAAAGUUUAGACACUGCCGUGUACAUGGUCUCACUGAGCCCUCUUCUGAUAUAGCAGACUCGCAUGAUGACAUCUGCUGUACAGCUGUGGACAAGGAGCUUGGCAAAGACCAGAUCGACAAAAGACUCAGAGCUGAUACCUGACAAAGCUGAGAGCUGCGGCCAGCUCUUGCUAUCUCCAAAGAGCCUGCUUUUCCCCUUGCAGUUUGCUAUACUGAACAAAGAUCUGUAUUGAACAUUCCACAAAUUACAUCGUCCAGGCAUUGACCAUGUAAUUAGGAUUGGGUGUGUUCAGUAUCAAAUCAGUUGGCUUGUUCACAGCAAUAACACCUUCAACUAAUUACAUAUUGGCAACAGAUUUAAAGGUAUUGCUCACUAGAUUGCUUGUUAAAGAUCUAGCACCUAACAGAUUAUUACAGACUGGGAAUCAAAUUCUGCACUGAUGCUCCCUCUACAAACUCCAGAACAAAUGUAAAUGAAGUUUUAGUGGUGCUCUCCAGCACAGGACUCAGACUGCCUUCCCUGGAUCACCAGCGGCCCCUCCCUCAGACCCUCAUCAUUCUCUUGCAAAUGUACUGCAUUGGGUCUGAUCCCCAAGAGAAAAACAAGGAAUUUCUUAAUAGCAUAUACUUUUUCGAUAUUGCUCCCAUCUCUGUCUUUCACAGAACUUUUUGGAAGGAGUUGAACAUUGUGGCUGCCUUCAUUCCCGCACUACACAUGCACUCUCCGCCCAUGUUAUGUGACAUCGCUUCCUCCAUGCACACUGAUCGCACAGCUACAGGCUGUCCCAGUCACCAGGUCUAGUGGAUACUUCUCCGCUCUCAUUUCGUUGCAUUUCUUAGCAUCCCAAGUCAAGAAGUUGUUUCUAUUCUAUUUUUCCGAUGCAAGGAUUUUUCUGGAGACAUGAUUAUGUGUGAGAAAGUGCUGAGGGAACCAGGGUUUCGAGUUCUCUCCUGCUGCUUCAUCCACUCUACUAUGAAGGAAUUAGAGUAAUGAUGGGAAAAGCAGGUUGUAGGUAAUACAGAGAGUGCAACUUUCAGAAAGCUCAAACAAGGAACGCUAGAUGUUGUUUAGAGACACAUGGAUGAGAAAUACACAGCCCGGGAGAGUGCGACCAGUGGGAAGACAUGACAGGUGUUGAAUCUGGAAGUGCUAAUGUUGUCCUACUUGUGAUGAGAUCACGGAUGAGAAUGAGAAGAGAAAGAUAGCGCAAGAGACCAACAAAAAACCAAGACCAUGAGAUUUCCGAGAACUCAAGCACAUUACACAUUUCAAGAGGGCAAUUGCUCCUUUCCUCACUGCAAGACCUUGAAGACUGUAAAUCCCAGACAAAACACCUUGUGUCAGACUGCUGUUAACUGAAUCUAUAGAAUGGAUGGCUUGAACAACAUACGUCUGUUUGUAUGGUUCUAGAGGCUGGGAAGUGAAAAUCAAGGUGCUAUUAGAUCUGAACCUAGUGAGAGCCUGCUUGGUGUGGCUGUCUUCUUGCUGAAUCCUCACACAGGAAGUGGGACCGGCUGUUCCGAGGCCGGUAUCUGAGUCGAUUGCACACCACUUGCUGCUCAUCUUUCCACUGCAGGAUACAUCUGCUCCCAGAAGCAUUUAGAAAAUUGAUUCUGA